GACGAACGCUGGCGGCGUGCUUAACACAUGCAAGUCGAACGAAGAGCGAUGGAAGCUUGCUUCUAUCAAUCUUAGUGGCGAACGGGUGAGCAACGCGUAAUCAACCUGCCCUUCAGAGGGGGACAACAGUUGGAAACGACUGCUAAUACCGCAUACGAUCUAAUCUCGGCAUCGAGGAUAGAUGAAAGGUGGCCUCUACAUGUAAGCUAUCACUGAAGGAGGGGAUUGCGUCUGAUUAGCUAGUUGGAGGGGUAACGGCCCACCAAGGCGAUGAUCAGUAGCCGGUCUGAGAGGAUGAACGGCCACAUUGGGACUGAGACACGGCCCAGACUCCUACGGGAGGCAGCAGUGGGGAAUCUUCCGCAAUGGACGAAAGUCUGACGGAGCAACGCCGCGUGAGCGAUGACGGCCUUCGGGUUGUAAAGCUCUGUUAAUCGGGACGAAAGGCCUUCUUGCGAAUAGUGAGAAGGAUUGACGGUACCGGAAUAGAAAGCCACGGCUAACUACGUG
Molecule: ribosomal RNA, 510 nt
Filed under: uncultured bacterium
Lineage: Bacteria
Description: partial 16S ribosomal RNA
Rfam family: Bacterial small subunit ribosomal RNA
Source: RNAcentral